RNAcentral lists this ribosomal RNA (509 nucleotides) under uncultured bacterium. Its description in RNAcentral is "bacterial SSU rRNA". It matches the Rfam family "Bacterial small subunit ribosomal RNA", at positions 501 to 1009 of the family's 1533-position model. The record is from RNAcentral.
CUACGUGCCAGCAGCCGCGGUAAUACGUAGGUGGCAAGCGUUGUCCGGAAUUAUUGGGCGUAAAGCGCGCGCAGGCGGAUUGGUCAGUCUGUCUUAAAAGUUCGGGGCCUAACCCCGUGAUGGGAUGGAAACUGCCAAUCUAGAGUAUCGGAGAGGAAAGUGGAAUUCCUAGUGUAGCGGUGAAAUGCGUAGAUAUUAGGAAGAACACCAGUGGCGAAGGCGACUUUCUGGACGAAAACUGACGCUGAGGCGCGAAAGCCAGGGGAGCGAACGGGAUUAGAUACCCCGGUAGUCCUGGCCGUAAACGAUGGGUACUAGGUGUAGGAGGUAUCGACCCCUUCUGUGCCGGAGUUAACGCAAUAAGUACCCCGCCUGGGGAGUACGACCGCAAGGUUGAAACUCAAAGGAAUUGACGGGGGCCCGCACAAGCGGUGGAGUAUGUGGUUUAAUUCGACGCAACGCGAAGAACCUUACCAGGUCUUGACAUUGAUGGACAGAACUAGAGAUAG